RNAcentral lists this long non-coding RNA (541 nucleotides) under Heterocephalus glaber (naked mole-rat). Its description in RNAcentral is "lncRNA (ENSHGLG00000039505.1)". The record is from RNAcentral. Lineage: Eukaryota; Metazoa; Chordata; Mammalia; Rodentia; Bathyergidae.
GAAAAUGAUCUGGAAGGCUCCCCUCUUGCACUUAAUAAAUAAUCCAUAUUCCUGAAGGAAGCCAGUGAGACAGGACUUCAAUUUUCCUAUAUCUUCUUCUACUUGAUAGUUAGAUACCCCUGGAUAUCUACCAUGUUGUUUAUGAAAUCUAUCAACAGCCUGUAACAGAGGGACAUCUCACCACUCGAAGAAAUGCAGAAUUGCUACAGAGUAAUUUUGAUUCUUUCUCUGAAAUGGAUUCUGGUGCCUGGCCAAUGGACUGCAACAAUUUGGCAACAUGAUGACCCACAGCAGCAGCAUCUUUCUUUGCUUUUUCACGGUAAACAUUUUGGAAUUUUAUAUAUUUGCCUGAAUCUGUGAUCAUAUCAGGAAUUGUGCCUUGAACUGGUAAAUUUCCUUGACCUUCUUUGGCUACAAAUUCCUUUAAGGUACAAGCCAAAAUCCAAAAUAGUGGAGUCUGUUUUGUAAUAUUUAUGCAGCGACCAUCAUUAAAUAUAUCUUCAAUAUAUUGCUUGGAAUCUGAGUUGUAUUUAGUGCUGUG